CAGUCGCCGCGGUAAUACAGAGGGUGCGAGCGUUAAUCGGAUUUACUGGGCGUAAAGCGUGCGUAGGCGGCUUCUUAAGUCGGAUGUGAAAUCCCUGAGCUUAACUUAGGAAUUGCAUUCGAUACUGGGAAGCUAGAGUAUGGGAGAGGAUGGUAGAAUUCCAGGUGUAGCGGUGUAAUGCGUAGAGAUCUGGAGGAAUACCGAUGGCGAAGGCAGCCAUCUGGCCUAAUACUGACGCUGAGGUACGAAAGCAUGGGGAGCAAACAGGAUUAGAUACCCCAGUAGUCCCUGUCUCUUAUAC
This 301-nucleotide ribosomal RNA is filed under the name uncultured bacterium. Its description in RNAcentral is "partial 16S ribosomal RNA". It matches the Rfam family "Bacterial small subunit ribosomal RNA", at positions 509 to 807 of the family's 1533-position model. The record is from RNAcentral.